CUCAACAGCAUACAUGACAUUUCAGCUUACAAAAACACAGUAUGAAUAAGCCAAAUUAACAAGCAAUUGAUUAAUAUGCUAACAGAGUGACAUAACCUGCAAAAGAACAUAACCAGAGUGACAUAACUUGUAAAAUCACUAGUCGAGAGUGACAAAAACAAAAGUACAUAGCAGUUCAAUAAUAUGCUAACAGAAAAUCACUACUCCAUCAUAUCAGUUCUGUUUUUUUGUAGCCUUCCUCUUCCGACCAUUUGUUCCUGCUUGAGCUUGAA
This 272-nucleotide long non-coding RNA is filed under the name Hordeum vulgare. RNAcentral's name for it is "long non-coding RNA (HVUL_LNC018687)". The record is from RNAcentral. Lineage: Eukaryota; Viridiplantae; Streptophyta; Magnoliopsida; Poales; Poaceae.